RNAcentral lists this ribosomal RNA (872 nucleotides) under uncultured bacterium. Its description in RNAcentral is "bacterial SSU rRNA". It matches the Rfam family "Bacterial small subunit ribosomal RNA", at positions 588 to 1461 of the family's 1533-position model. The record is from RNAcentral.
CAGGAUGUGAANUCCCCGGGCUCAACCUGGGAACUGCGUUNUGAACUGGGUGACUAGAGUGUNUCAGAGGGAGGUAGAAUUCCACGUGUAGCAGUGAAAUGCGUAGAGAUGUGGAGGAAUACCGAUGGCGAAGGCAGCCUCCUGGGAUAACACUGACGUUCAUGCCCGAAAGCGUGGGUAGCAAACAGGAUUAGAUACCCUGGUAGUCCACGCCCUAAACGAUGUCGAUUAGCUGUUGGGCAGCAUGACUGCUUAGUAGCGAAGCUAACGCAUGAAAUCGACCGCCUGGGGAGUACGGUCGCAAGAUUAAAACUCAAAGGAAUUGACGGGGACCCGCACAAGCGGUGGAUGAUGUGGAUUAAUUCGAUGCAACGCGAAGAACCUUACCUGGUCUUGACAUGUAUGGAACCCUCCAGAGACGGAGGGGUGCCUUCGGGAGCCGUAACACAGGUGCUGCAUGGCUGUCGUCAGCUCGUGUCGUGAGAUGUUGGGUUAAGUCCCGCAACGAGCGCAACCCUUGUCAUUAGUUGCCAUCAUUAAGUUGGGCACUCUAAUGAGACUGCCGGUGACAAGCCGGAGGAAGGCGGGGAUGACGUCAAGUCCUCAUGGCCCUUAUGACCAGGGCUUCACACGUCAUACAAUGGUCGGUACAGAGGGUAGCCAAGCCGCGAGGUGGAGCCAAUCUCACAAAACCGAUCGUAGUCCGGAUUGCACUCUGCAACUCGAGUGCAUGAAGUCGGAAUCGCUAGUAAUCGCAGGUCAGCAUACUGCGGUGAAUACGUUCCCGGGUCUUGUACACACCGCCCGUCACACCAUGGGAGUGGGGGAUACCAGAAGUAGGUAGGGUAACCGCAAGGAGCCCGCUUACCNCG